This 369-nucleotide ribosomal RNA is filed under the name uncultured bacterium. RNAcentral describes it as "bacterial SSU rRNA". It matches the Rfam family "Bacterial small subunit ribosomal RNA", at positions 525 to 896 of the family's 1533-position model. The record is from RNAcentral.
ACGUAGGGGGCGAGCGUUGUUCGGAAUUACUGGGCGUAAAGGGCAUGUAGGCGGCUUUGUAAGCUUGGCGUGAAAUUCCACGGCUUAACCGUGGGAAUGCGUUGAGAACUGCGAGGCUUGAGUGACGGAGAGGGAGCUAGAAUUCCUGGUGUAGGGGUGGAAUCUGUAGAGAUCAGGAAGAAUACCAAUGGCGAAGGCAAGCUCCUGGCCGAUGACUGACGCUGAGGUGCGAAAGUGUGGGGAUCAAACAGGAUUAGAUACCCUGGUAGUCCACACUGUAAACGAUGUACACUAGGUGCUGGGGCGGAUGCUUCAGUGCCGUAGCUAACGUGAUAAGUGUACCGCCUGGGGAGUAUGCUCGCAAGGGUG